This 804-nucleotide long non-coding RNA is filed under the name Struthio camelus australis. Its description in RNAcentral is "lncRNA (ENSSCUG00000018160.1)". Lineage: Eukaryota; Metazoa; Chordata; Aves; Struthioniformes; Struthionidae. The record is from RNAcentral.
CACUUUGUUCAGCUUAUUCCUGAAAUAUGAACAGCUGGAGAAAUUACUUCAACAGUGUUUUUGAGAUAAAGUCUGAGCUGUAACUAUCCAAUGUCUGGCAUAAAGUGCCCAGCACACCCUACCUGCUUUCACAGAGUGAAUUAAUAGCAGUAAUAGUAGUAGUAUUAGUAAAAUCAAUGUUUAAAAGGAGUUUGACUAACCUAUGGCUUUUGGAGCACAUAUCGCUCCGAAACAGCUGAACUGUGGCUCUCAGACCACUUCUGGUGGCACAGCUAUUUAUGUGGAGGUUACCGGCCACUUGAAUUCCUGUCCAUGGAAGACAGCAAGCAGAGAGGCCACAGGUGGCAGUGGGGCCACUGCUGGAGCCUGGAAGCCAGCUGACAGCACACCCGUCAGCUCCUGUUCAGAUGUGGGAGCCCUGGGGAGAGACAGACACCACGAGCCUAUGAAUUUUCCAAGAGCUCACUCAUCCUUCAGUGUUACAGACUGGAACUGCCCCAGUGUGAGCCUGCUUUGCAGUCUACGUAGAUCAGUCUUGUCCUGCCCUUUCCUAUAUACCCCAGCCUUGUUCAGUUCUUCGUGUCUGGCUUUAGAGCACAGCCAAGGGAGCAGGUAGGAGGUUACGUAAUGGACAAAAUCAUAUUGCUGGAUUGAAUGAUGGACAUGAAGGAAGAAAAAUUACAAUAAGUGCAAUUGUCCAAGUCAUGGAGUCAGUGAAAAAGCUGUGAUCUCUCUGUACAGUAACGCUCUACAUUUACAAAGUGACUGAAUAAAGAAGAGAGAGGAUGAGUAUAGUCUGGGUCA